AGGUUGGUAAACUGAUAGCAAG
RNAcentral lists this microRNA (22 nucleotides) under Eptesicus fuscus (big brown bat). Its description in RNAcentral is "efu-miR-9343". The record is from miRBase by way of RNAcentral. Lineage: Eukaryota; Metazoa; Chordata; Mammalia; Chiroptera; Vespertilionidae.